GUGGCUGUCGCCGAAAUGGACAGGCGCCAGAUUGCAAAUCUGGUCUAUGCGGGUUCGAAUCCCGUCAGCCACUCCA
RNAcentral lists this transfer RNA (76 nucleotides) under Candidatus Sungiibacteriota bacterium. RNAcentral describes it as "Candidatus Sungbacteria bacterium tRNA-Cys". It matches the Rfam family "tRNA". From Rfam's summary of the family: Transfer RNA (tRNA) molecules are approximately 80 nucleotides in length. Their secondary structure includes four short double-helical elements and three loops (D, anti-codon, and T loops). Lineage: Bacteria; Candidatus Sungiibacteriota. The record is from RNAcentral.